RNAcentral lists this long non-coding RNA (2523 nucleotides) under Androctonus crassicauda. The record is from RNAcentral. Lineage: Eukaryota; Metazoa; Arthropoda; Arachnida; Scorpiones; Buthidae.
AAAAUUAAUUCUCUGUCUUCAUGGUCAUUUAAUUUUGAUACGUGUUUUAACAGUUUAAAAGUUUGGAAGUUUUGUAAAUCACCAUUCAGUAAUAACAGAAGCUUUGAAUGUUCAAUAUUUUCGUUUUGGCUGCAUUGUGUUCACUAUGAUUCUGGAUUUAGAAUGCACAGAGUAAUCUGCAGGUGCAGUUUGUAUCCCAACAUCUCAUAUUGUAAAGAGUUGUAGUUGAGGUUUGUAAACUUUGGUCUUUUACUGCUUCAGGCUGAAAACCUGUUGAAACGUACAUGUAAGAUCGCAGGUGGCUGAGAAGUACUACAGUUGAUAUUUAGACCGAUUGAGUUUUGUUAGAUUUUUGCAAAUAACAGUAGCAGGAUAAAAGAAAUGCAUUGGGGUCAUUAGAUCUAACACGCAGGUGUGAGCACCAAUGAAAUAAACCAGAACUAUAUAGGGGGAAAUAGCGGAUUGGACUCGACCUUGAUUUUUGGCUUUUACAAAAAAAAAAAUUUUUUUUGGCUUUUGCAGUGUUGUUUUAAGCUUCCUUAGUACAUUUGUUUUUCACUCAUACUGUGUCAUUCUUCAAUUGUAUAUUUUGUAAACUUAAAACAAAUGAAAUAGUUCGAUGAAGUUCACUAUUGACAGAUAAUUUUGAGUUGUUAUAUCAUUUGCGGUGAAAAAUACAAAGAGUUAUUGUUCGGUAAAUAUGUAAGUCGUCAUUAUUAAGAUAUCGAUCGAAGACUACCACUUUAUGCAUAGUGAAUAUCGUUUAUCAUCAAAAUUUUAAUCCUAUGAAAUGAUUUCGAUUUACAUCGUUUUCGUGCCUGUUCUCUGUGGGGAGAUAUUAAUGUUGUCGCGAUUUAACCUUAUAGAAAGACGAAGAAUUUGAUGUCGUGUAAUUACAAGAUCGAAAUUUUUUUUUUUUAUGGAGAUUUCGUUCUUAGAUUCAGUUCGCAGAUUAAAAACGAAGGAAAAAAAAACUGAUUUUUUUUUUAACUUGAGGAAAAAAGAUAUAAAGAUACUUUACUGCUGCAUUACUCAGUAUCUGCGGUUGAAUUCUAUUUCGAAAAGUGCUCUUCAUUGUUAGGAGCGUAUUCGGAAAAUCGUUUCUUACUACGAAUACUCUUUUAUAGUUGUUUGAAUGCAUCUUUUGUCACGGUUUCGUUUAUUUCGAGUUUGAUCGUUUUUCGAUGAAUUAAAAUAUCGUUUUAACUUAAAAUGUACAUAGUCGAAUUAGAAAGUUAAUUGUUUUUGUUGUUAUAUGUUUUAUUAAUUAGAAAAACAACAGUAGUCCCGUAAUCUCAUAUAGUGCAAUUGUUAUUUAGAGUACAAGUAUUCUGUUACCUGUCGACGUUUGUAACAUAUGUUCCUUGUAGCCAUGUGUUUCAUGUGGUUAGUAUAACGCAGGUGCGUUUUGGUUAGAACACGACGACAGGCUAACUUUGCUACUGUUCGGCCAUCUACCCACCCUGAGGUGACGAAUUUUUUUUGCCCCAUCGAACUGGUUGGUGUUGUUGAUCCCAUGCCGUUGAAUAUUAACGGGUUUUGUUUCUUAGCAAAAUUUUCAAUGCCGCGAUGACCUACCUAGCCUGAACGACAUUUAUUUAAAAAAUUGUCCGAUUGCCAGCUGGACUUUUACCUCUACCCGAGUUCUGGUCAUUAUCGCAAAACUAUAUUCUCUAAAAUAGAUGAUUAAAUUUUAAUUAUUUCAUAUAAAUGAUUAUAAAAUAUGAGAAAAAAUUAAAAAAAAAUUGUUUAUGAUGUUUUAAAAAGAUAAAAAAAUAUACAUACAUAGUUUAUUUUAAAUACUUGUUAAUUAUAAGAAAUUAUAAAAUCGGUUUUAAGUACGGAAGAAAUUAGUAAAAUUUGUAAUAAAUAACUUUAUAAUUUUCUCAUCAUAUUUAUAAUAAUUAAAAAUUGCGAUGGAGGAUAUAUAUCAUGUUGUGUUGAUGCGAAUUAGAUUGUAGCUAGAAGUUAUAUAAUCGAUUUAAUUGUAUAAAAUAAUCGAAACCAUUUAGUAAAUUUAAUCAUCGUUUCGCCAUAAUUAUUCAAGUGUGUUAGUUGACUUGCCACCUUUGAUAAAAAUUGCCGUUUAACAACUUUGGAGACAUACCAAAGAAGUUAGGCUGGCGACCUCCAUCCGGAUGACUCCACCUGACUCUCACCUUGACGUCAACGACACUGUCGGUAUUAAAUGUGGCCAUAUUGCAGAAUCCUUUCGACCAGUGGCCAGGUGCAUGCUAGCAACACCACCUGUUUGGCUAAAGGGGAGCAGCUGGAAGCUGCUGCCAAUGCCUAAGGGGGUUGUAUACACUUCCUGCGUUGGCUACCCGACCUACCUGGUUGGUUUUUUUACCUCACUGUUUUUUUUUAUCCGUUCAAGUUUUUUUCUUGUUCUUCGGGUUUGCAUUCUGUGAGCUAGGCCGAGCUGUUGUCUGCAUAUCUAUUUCUUUCCACGAAUCAAAGUGAUUGGUUUUUAAAAUAAAAUAUAUUUGAACAAAGUUUAAUGCUUCGAAUAAUUGUACAGUG